This 338-nucleotide unclassified non-coding RNA is filed under the name soil metagenome. RNAcentral describes it as "partial contains 5.8S ribosomal RNA, internal transcribed spacer 2, and large subunit ribosomal RNA". The stretch from base 1 to 120 matches the Rfam family "5.8S ribosomal RNA", at positions 35 to 154 of the family's 154-position model. The record is from RNAcentral.
GAUGAAGAACGUAGCGAAAUGCGAUAAGUAGUGUGAAUUGCAGAAUUCAGUGAAUCAUCGAAUCUUUGAACGCACAUUGCGCCCCUUGGUAUUCCAUGGGGCAUGCCUGUUCGAGCGUCAUCUACACCCUCAAGCUCCGCUUGGUGUUGGGCGUCUGUCCCGCCUCCGCGCGUCGGACUCGCCCCAAAUCCAUUGGCAGCGUUCCUUGCCCCCUCUCGCGCAGCACAUUGCGCUUCUCGAGGGCGGCUCCGGGACGCGACCCACGAAGAUGACCACCGUCUUUGACCUCGGAUCAGGUAGGGAUACCCGCUGAACUUAAGCAUAUCAUAAGCGGAGGA